Non-coding RNA from Heterocephalus glaber (naked mole-rat), 5421 nucleotides. The record is from RefSeq and is a predicted model, not a curated record. Lineage: Eukaryota; Metazoa; Chordata; Mammalia; Rodentia; Bathyergidae.
CCUCCUAAGAGACACGUUAAGCUGACUCUGUGUCUCUGUCAUUCAUCUUCACUCCCCAGGUCAGAGAGAACAAAGCAGCAGCUCUAGGUCCCGGAAUAAGGCUGGCCGAGUGGGUCAGCUACAGGUGGUGCCCCAGCAUGGGGCUCGGGACCUGGGCUUGCCUACAUAUGGGUGUUUUCUCCCUCCCCACAGAUCCAAGGGGAAGAAUGGGGCAGGUCUGGGUCCUGUUUAGGAAGGGUGGUCUGUAGCCAGAAGAAGACAGGAGAGGUGCUGGAGAAGCAACACAUGUGGCCCCCUUGGUCCUAGAGAGAGGAGGGGGUGCUGUUUCUCCUCACAGUCACAUCUCAGGACAGUGAACCAGGUGGUGCAGUCCUUGCCCCUGCAGAGCUCACCUUCCAGAGAAGAUCCUAGACAGAUAAAUAGGCACACGCAGCAGCGUCACUUAGCAUCUGGGUGGGCAGGGGAACAGCCCACCCACCCUGGGGCUGUAAAGGCAAGGGAGGUGCUAAUUAGGUGGGGUGGCAGAGAAAGCUGCUAGGAGGGUGCAAAAUGUGCAGAAAGUACAGUGCACUCAGGGUUAACCACAGCAUUUCUGGAAGAAAAGAAUACAAGCAGAGGAAAGAGCAAGUUCAAAGGCCCUGUGGUGAGAAUGCUCAGUGUGGCCAGAGUGGAACGACACAGAGGGAGGAGAGGAGAUCUGAUAGCUAUGCAAGGCCCAGAUCCUGGGCUCAGGUUGUAUCUAGGCCUUGGCAAGGAGUCUAGAUUUGCUUUAGAGGGAGAAGAAACUGAUGGGGUUUUUCUGAACAGGAGAAUGCCAUGAUCCUAUUUGCAUUUACAAAGAACACUCCCAUGACUCCAUAGUGAUUUUUUAAAUAGAUACAUCCCAUCUGUACUCCAGCCUCAUCAGUAUGUUUCUUAAAUCAGUUAACUUUACUCAAGUAACAUUCUUAAGGAAAUUUGAUGUUCCACCUCUGCAAAUGAAAAAUCAGUAUUGUCUGCCAUAAAUAGAAGAAAACCCGUAAAAACAAAUACAACCAAAACAAAGAAGUGUUAUUACUUUUUCACCAAAGACUCCUAACGAUGAUGAACCUGAGCCUGGAGCCCCCUCUGUCUGAAGGAAAGUUAGUAAGCACUGGAGAACCUAAAGUCAACUAGCACCCACCUGAGACUCUCUCCACGGGGCGCUGGAGUAUCUGAAAGAAACUUGGUGCGGAAAUACGUCUCCCACAGUAGGAUACCCCAGUCCUUCAUGCUGGUUCCAGUAGCCACAAAUCAUCUCAUAGCCUUCAUGGGCACCCUGACUAGUCUUUGGGGAAAACAUCAUAAGGGAAUAUAUUUUCAAUUUGAUAUUUCAGCUGUGCUGUCCUCUACAUGGGAUUUCUUCUCAGGGAGGCUCAUCCCCUGAGCUGGACAGCUCCCAGCUGACUGCCUCCCUGCUCAGUGGCAGCAGCAGAAAGACAGGUGCCCACAACACCAGCCCCAAAGUCCGAGGUUGCUCACCAUUGACUGCCUUGAGUCACGUGCCCUUUGCUGGACCAAUCACAGUGGCCAGAAAUGGAAUAUGGGGUCAUCAAGGCCCAGACACAGAGGUGUGGGGGCUCCCAAUAUGCCACUCUCAGGAGACAUAGGCUGCUAGAAACAACAGAUGACCCCUGUACUAGGGAACAGUUAAAAGAAAAUACUGGGCUGGGGAUUUAGCUCAGUGGUUUUGCCACCUGCUGCUGCAUAAGCACAAGGACCCGAGUUCAAUCCCUGGUAUCAAAAAAAAAAAAUACUAAUGCUCUUUGACAUUCUGAAAUCAAAGAUUUGAAAUCCAAACUCAUAAGUGACAGUUCAUUUUAAGUCAACUUGGCAAGGCCGUGGUGCCCAGAGAUGAGGUCAAAUAUUAUUUAGAAGUUUCUAUAAGGGUGUUUGGGGAUGAGAUUAACAUUUAAAUCAGUGGACUUUAAGGAAAGCAGAUUGCCCUCCAUAAUGUGGGGGGCCACAUCCAAUCAGGUGAAGGCCUGCAUAGAAGAAAACACUGACCUCCUGCAAGCAAAAAGAAUUCUUCAGCAGAUGUCUCAGACUUAAACAGCAGCACCAGCUCCUUCCAGGGUCUCCAGCCUGCUGCUCUACCCUGCGGGUGCUGGACUUGCCAGCCCCCAUAGCCACAGGAGCCAAUUGCUGAAGAUAAACUUCUUUCCGUAUAUGAACCAUAGGUGUUGAAAAACUUUACCCUCUGAAGGUUUGAUAAUUGGGUCUAUGAAGUAUACUGACAAUGGACAGACUAAUGGGAGAAAAGUUAUACAAAUUCCUUACCCACACAGGGGCAUCACAGGAAAGAGAAGUGACCAGUCCCAGCCCAGGGUGAUCCGGAAUCAUAUAUACCUGCUUCAGUGGGGAGGGGGAAGGGGAAGGCUAACUGGCCAUUGGGUGCCAGCCGGGGGUAAAGUAUCUGGGCACAGAGUGACCUUGGGUACACCUGCUGUGAUGGAAGGUCCACCUUUCUCUGGCUGACCAGGGCCCUGGCAGGGGAUUCUUGAUUAUUGGUUGGUUCCCUUUGUAGGAUCCAACUUUAGGCAGAUAAGGGAAGCUUGGCCCGAGCCCUCUCUGUGCUUGCUGUCCCCAGGUGUCCUCUCUCUGAAAUACUCCACACACUCAAGGGCAUGUUUUUGGUGGCAUCUUUUGAACUCCUCAGCACAUGUUCUGUUGAGUGUGUCUUCUGGGAGCCCUGACUCACACCACACACUCACUGUACUUGAAUAAAGGUUACUUCCAAAGCCCCUCACCUCUGGACUGUAACCAACUUGGUGACAAACUUAGUCCAUCUCCAUAUGCUGGCAUUUCCCACGUGGAAAAGGCCAUUUGACAGAUGGAAGCUGCGGUCCCACCCCCAACUCCCAUUUCCUCUCUCUCUUUAAUGUUGAUUUUAUGCUCAUUUUAGAGACCCAGUCAAAAAGAUGGAUACAAGGCCAAAUCAGUGACAAAUGAAAAAGGGAUUUAGACACCUUGAGCUUUUGUGUUGUGUGGUGUGUGUGUGUGAGAGAGAGAGAGAGAUUAGUACUAUCCUUUGAAGGAAGGAAGGAGGAAGCUGAAUUCCUGACAGGGCUGGGAGGAGAUGGUGCCUGAACAGACUCUUGCAGUGGACCUCCACCUAGCCCUGUCUCCUAGGAUGAGGGUCCUCCAGUUUUCCUCCAGGGAUUGAAUUCACCUGACCCCACUGAUGGCCCAAUAUGAGCUCUUCCUGCUGCCAUCUGCUGCCCAGGGCCCAGGAUACCCUGUUCCUGCCCCUCCAAUGCCUCCUGCUCCCCAGACCUUCUGGUCGUUCUGCAUUUCUGUGCUCCAGGGUCUAACGUGGAUUCUGUGCCCUGUGACCUCAAAACCCAACAUAACUGAAGAAUGAAAAAAUCUUUAAAAUCACAAGGAAGGCGGCGGCAGAGGUGAUGGCGGCGGCAGAGGUGAUGGCGGCAGCAGCACCACCUGAGAACAGAGCUGGGCCCGGGCAUGGUGGCGCGUUCUGCACUGUGAGAGCGCAGCGGCCGCUGGAUCGCCAUGCGCCAGCGGCUCCAAAGCUCGGGCCUUUGGCCCUUCGCCUCGGCGACGGGAGGCAGCGUCCCGGAGACGAGACUGCGGGCGCUGAGCAAGCCUUGGUACUCCCCUCGCUCCACGUUCUGUGAGGAGGAUGGGGAUCUGGCUCAUGAGUUCUAUGAGGAGACAGUCGUCACCAUGAACGGCCAGAAGCGGGCCAAGCUGAGGCAGGUGUAUAAGGCUCUGAUUCCUUAGGGCAUCGUGAGGCUGGAUCUCCCCCGCAGCCACGUGGAUUUCCCUGUGAUCCUCUAUGAGCUGUGAGCCUGGUGGGUGAAGACACAAGCACCCCCUCUGACCCAGCAAGAAACUUCCUGUCACAAGGUGUAGCUUCCAUUGAGCACCCCAGGCUGGGGCCACAGCCCUUCGUGAACUCUGUUGGCCCAGAACCUUCAGCUGUAAGCAGGGCAGCCCUCGGUAUAAAUCGGGUAUUGGUUUGUGUGUGGACAAGAGAGGUUUGGUGUCUGGCAAAGGCUAACGGGAGAGUUACCAGCAGAGCUUUCCCAGCCACAGGGCAUCUGCCAGUCAGGAAUGUGUGGUUCCUGGUUCCUUGCCUGGCUGGUCUGCUUUCUUCCAAGCUUGCCUAGGGCCCAGCCUCACUAAAAGCUACAGCACUUUCCAUGCAAAAUCUGCCUUCUUCCAGCCCCUGGACUUUGGGAGCUCUACACAAGUGGGAACUUCCUUUCCCUCACUUCCUUUACCCCCUAGUCAGAGCAUUUCAGCCAUUUCUACCUCUAUACUUCCUGAUUGGACAGAGGCUGAGGACAGCACCCACCUGAUGCUUCCCACCUACCUGCCAUUUGUUCCCACUUUCACAUGGACAGUUUGCUGGCUGUUAACUGGAAUGAGGACUGGUAUGGGUAGCUUCUCCUUUUCCCAGGGCUUGGCUAAUUGCUCCCCAGUGCAACUAGUUAUUGCCCUCUCCUCAGUUAAGAGGUACAGGCCAGAGUCAGAACAGGCUAUGGGCGUCUGUGCCUAUGGGAAGUUGCCCCAAGCCUAUUCUAACCGCCUCCCCCCUUGCCUUUGCACCAGCCAUUCCCCCUACUAUCCAGUUGGGAGGGUCCACUACCCUGUGAUGAAGACCAACAUACUAGGGCUGGUGCCUGUAGCGCUAUGAGGAGACCACCACUCUUCUGCCACAAUAUCUUCACCCCUUCUGGAUCAGUCAAGGGAAAGUACUAGGGCCCCUUGAAAAGCACAGAAAGGAGGGCAAAAACAUAAAAGGGAAUACUGUACUUAAAGUGUGAAGAUUUGUAAAUAGUCUAGUCCAUGCUGAUGUUAGGGCAGAGUCUGAUUUCUACACAGAAAUGACUUUCUUUUUCUUUUAAUUUCUUAUUGUGCAAGUUCUAUGCUUCUAGCAUGGGACAUGGCUUGGGGAUGAUGCUCCCCAGUAUAGGAAGAUUGUUGUGCUAUUUGUUCGAUUUCAAUAAAAUUAUUUGUAGAUCCUGUAAAAAAAUAAAAUCAGAAGGAAAAAAAUUGUUUAAAGUUGCCAUGGCUACCAAGUGAAAAGUGCAACAUUCUGUAGCAAAUUCUGCAAACUGUAAGAUUUCAUUAUUAAAUACUUUGUUUUCAAUAAAAAACUGAUGUUAAUGUUUAUAAAAUAAUUGAAGAAAUGUUCAAAGUGCUCAUUGUCACUCCUUGUGUUUGAGAAAGAAGUACAGCAGUGAAAUUGUUUUGGAAAAUAUAAAAGUUGUUGGUGAUUUGGUUUUAAGUUGUUAUCUCUUACAUCUUCACGUCACUCAGUAAGCUUUUCUGCUCUCUGUCAACCUUAAAAUGCAUAAACAUCACAAAUAUGAGAAAUAUAUAUCUUAUUUUGAAUAAAAAUUAGUAUUGCAAAAAUUAGUGUUGGGCAUUUUU